GUCUACGGCCAUGCUAUCCUGAAUGCGCCCAAUGUUGUCUCAUCUCAGAAGCUAAUCUAGGUUGGGCCUGGUUAGUACUUGGAUGGGAGACCAAGAUUGAAUUCACACAUAUGGUGCUAGGAA
Molecule: ribosomal RNA, 123 nt
Filed under: Ochotona princeps (American pika)
Lineage: Eukaryota; Metazoa; Chordata; Mammalia; Lagomorpha; Ochotonidae
Source: RNAcentral